This 66-nucleotide transfer RNA is filed under the name Diaphanoeca grandis. The record is from RNAcentral. Lineage: Eukaryota; Choanoflagellata; Acanthoecida; Stephanoecidae.
UGGAGUGGCUAAUUCAGGACGACAUCCCGUCUAUUCACACCCGAGUGACGCUUGCUAACGGCGAUA